UAGGGAAUAUUAGAAAUGGACGAAAGUCUGAUCUAGCAACACCGCGUGUGCGAAGAAGGCCUUUGGGUCGUAAAGCACUUUUUGGAAGGAAUAGGAAGGAAUGUACUUCCAGAAUAAGUCUCGGCUAACUACGUGCCAGCAGCCGCGGUAAUACGUAGGAGGCAAACGUUAUCCGGAUUUACUGGGCGUAAAGCGCGUGUAGGUGGUACUGUAAGUAGGGCGUGAAAGCUCCUGGCUCGACUGGGAGAGGCCGUUCUAAACUACAGAACUAGAGGAUGGUAGAGGGAGGUGGAAUUCCAGGUGUAGCGGUGGAAUGCGCAGAUAUCUGGAGGAACACCGGUGGCGAAGGCGGCCUCCUGGACCAUUCCUGACACUCAGACGCGAAAGCUAGGGUAGCAAACGG
This 403-nucleotide ribosomal RNA is filed under the name uncultured bacterium. RNAcentral describes it as "bacterial SSU rRNA". It matches the Rfam family "Bacterial small subunit ribosomal RNA", at positions 355 to 775 of the family's 1533-position model. The record is from RNAcentral.